UUGCUUUGGCAGCACAUACACUAAAACCGGAUCGACACAGAGAAGUUAGCAUGGCCUCUGCGCAAGGAUGCCAUGCAAAGUCACGAAGCGGUCCAUAUUUUU
Leptonychotes weddellii (Weddell seal) is the source of this 102-nucleotide small nuclear RNA. The record is from RefSeq and is a predicted model, not a curated record. NCBI's taxonomy places the organism in Eukaryota, Metazoa, Chordata, Mammalia, Carnivora, Phocidae.